Molecule: ribosomal RNA, 450 nt
Filed under: uncultured bacterium
Lineage: Bacteria
Description: bacterial SSU rRNA
Rfam family: Bacterial small subunit ribosomal RNA
Source: RNAcentral
UUGCCAGACUCCUACGGGAGGCAGCAGUCGGGAAUAUUGCGCAAUGGAGGAAACUCUGACGCAGUGACGCCGCGUAUAGGAAGAAGUUUUUCGGAAUGUAAACUAUUGUCGUUAGGGAAGAGAAAGGACAGUACCUAAGGAGGAAGCUCCGGCUAACUACGUGCCAGCAGCCGCGGUAAUACGUAGGGAGCGAGCGUUAAUCGGAAUUACUGGGCGUAAAGCGCUCGUAGGCGGUAUGUCAAGUCAAGGGUGAAAUCCCCGCGCUCAACGUGGGAACUGCCUUUGAAACUGGCAAACUGGAGUGUGUGAGAGGAUAGUGGAAUUCCAGGUGUAGGAGUGAAAUCCGUAGAUAUCUGGAGGAACAUCAGUGGCGAAGGCGACUAUCUGGCACAUAACUGACGCUGAGGAGCGAAAGCGUGGGUAGCAAACAGGAUUAGAUACCCGCGUAAC